RNAcentral lists this ribosomal RNA (674 nucleotides) under Streptomyces sp. RNAcentral's name for it is "bacterial SSU rRNA". It matches the Rfam family "Bacterial small subunit ribosomal RNA", at positions 98 to 785 of the family's 1533-position model. The record is from RNAcentral. Lineage: Bacteria; Bacillati; Actinomycetota; Actinomycetes; Kitasatosporales; Streptomycetaceae.
GCGAACGGGUGAGUAACACGUGGGCAAUCUGCCCUUCACUCUGGGACAAGCCCUGGAAACGGGGUCUAAUACCGGAUAUGACACACGACCGCAUGGUCUGUGUGUGGAAAGCUCCGGCGGUGAAGGAUGAGCCCGCGGCCUAUCAGCUUGUUGGUGGGGUAAUGGCCUACCAAGGCGACGACGGGUAGCCGGCCUGAGAGGGCGACCGGCCACACUGGGACUGAGACACGGCCCAGACUCCUACGGGAGGCAGCAGUGGGGAAUAUUGCACAAUGGGCGAAAGCCUGAUGCAGCGACGCCGCGUGAGGGAUGACGGCCUUCGGGUUGUAAACCUCUUUCAGCAGGGAAGAAGCGAGAGUGACGGUACCUGCAGAAGAAGCGCCGGCUAACUACGUGCCAGCAGCCGCGGUAAUACGUAGGGCGCAAGCGUUGUCCGGAAUUAUUGGGCGUAAAGAGCUCGUAGGCGGCUUGUCACGUCGGAUGUGAAAGCCCGGGGCUUAACCCCGGGUCUGCAUUCGAUACGGGCAGGCUAGAGUUCGGUAGGGGAGAUCGGAAUUCCUGGUGUAGCGGUGAAAUGCGCAGAUAUCAGGAGGAACACCGGUGGCGAAGGCGGAUCUCUGGGCCGAUACUGACGCUGAGGAGCGAAAGCGUGGGGAGCGAACAGGAUUAGAUAC